Molecule: ribosomal RNA, 454 nt
Filed under: uncultured bacterium
Lineage: Bacteria
Description: bacterial SSU rRNA
Rfam family: Bacterial small subunit ribosomal RNA
Source: RNAcentral
UACGGGAGGAGCAGUGGGGAAUAUUGCACAAUGGGCGCAAGCCUGAUGCAGCCAUGCCGCGUGUAUGAAGAAGGCCUUCGGGUUGUAAAGUACUUUCAGCGGGGAGGAAGGCGAUGUGGUUAAUAACCGCGUCGAUUGACGUUACCCGCAGAAGAAGCACCGGCUAACUCCGUGCCAGCAGCCGCGGUAAUACGGAGGGUGCAAGCGUUAAUCGGAAUUACUGGGCGUAAAGCGCACGCAGGCGGUCUGUUAAGUCAGAUGUGAAAUCCCCGGGCUUAACCUGGGAACUGCAUUUUGAAACUGGCAGGCUUGAGUCUCGUAGAGGGGGUAGAAUUCCAGGUGUAGCGGUGAAAUGCGUAGAGAUCUGGAGGAAUACCGGUGGCGAAGGCGGCCCCUGGGACGAAGACUGACGCUCAGGUGCGAAAGCGUGGGGAGCAAACAGGGAUUAGAUACC